GUCGAGCGGUAGCACAGAGAGCUUGCUCUCGGGUGACGAGCGGCGGACGGGUGAGUAAUGUCUGGGAAACUGCCUGAUGGAGGGGGAUAACUACUGGAAACGGUAGCUAAUACCGCAUAACGUCGCAAGACCAAAGUGGGGGACCUUCGGGCCUCAUGCCAUCAGAUGUGCCCAGAUGGGAUUAGCUAGUAGGUGGGGUAAUGGCUCACCUAGGCGACGAUCCCUAGCUGGUCUGAGAGGAUGACCAGCCACACUGGAACUGAGACACGGUCCAGACUCCUACGGGAGGCAGCAGUGGGGAAUAUUGCACAAUGGGCGCAAGCCUGAUGCAGCCAUGCCGCGUGUGUGAAGAAGGCCUUCGGGUUGUAAAGCACUUUCAGCGGGGAGGAAGGCGUUAAGGUUAAUAACCUUGUCGAUUGACGUUACCCGCAGAAGAAGCACCGGCUAACUCCGUGCCAGCAGCCGCGGUAAUACGGAGGGUGCAAGCGUUAAUCGGAAUUACUGGGCGUAAAGCGCACGCAGGCGGUCUGUCAAGUCGGAUGUGAAAUCCCCGGGCUCAACCUGGGAACUGCAUUCGAAACUGGCAGGCUAGAGUCUUGUAGAGGGGGGUAGAAUUCCAGGUGUAGCGGUGAAAUGCGUAGAGAUCUGGAGGAAUACCGGUGGCGAAGGCGGCCCCCUGGACAAAGACUGACGCUCAGGUGCGAAAGCGUGGGGAGCAAACAGGAUUAGAUACCCUGGUAGUCCACGCCGUAAACGAUGUCGAUUUGGAGGUUGUGCCCUUGAGGCGUGGCUUCCGGAGCUAACGCGUUAAAUCGACCGCCUGGGGAGUACGGCCGCAAGGUUAAAACUCAAAUGAAUUGACGGGGGCCCGCACAAGCGGUGGAGCAUGUGGUUUAAUUCGAUGCAACGCGAAGAACCUUACCUGGUCUUGACAUCCACAGAACUUUCCAGAGAUGGAUUGGUGCCUUCGGGAACUGUGAGACAGGUGCUGCAUGGCUGUCGUCAGCUCGUGUUGUGAAAUGUUGGGUUAAGUCCCGCAACGAGCGCAACCCUUAUCCUUUGUUGCCAGCGGUUAGGCCGGGAACUCAAAGGAGACUGCCAGUGAUAAACUGGAGGAAGGUGGGGAUGACGUCAAGUCAUCAUGGCCCUUACGACCAGGGCUACACACGUGCUACAAUGGCAUAUACAAAGAGAAGCGACCUCGCGAGAGCAAGCGGACCUCAUAAAGUAUGUCGUAGUCCGGAUUGGAGUCUGCAACUCGACUCCAUGAAGUCGGAAUCGCUAGUAAUCGUAGAUCAGAAUGCUACGGUGAAUACGUUCCCGGGCCUUGUACACACCGCCCGUCA
This 1346-nucleotide ribosomal RNA is filed under the name Klebsiella pneumoniae subsp. ozaenae. RNAcentral describes it as "bacterial SSU rRNA". It matches the Rfam family "Bacterial small subunit ribosomal RNA", at positions 61 to 1399 of the family's 1533-position model. Lineage: Bacteria; Pseudomonadati; Pseudomonadota; Gammaproteobacteria; Enterobacterales; Enterobacteriaceae. The record is from RNAcentral.